Molecule: long non-coding RNA, 696 nt
Filed under: Mus spretus (western wild mouse)
Lineage: Eukaryota; Metazoa; Chordata; Mammalia; Rodentia; Muridae
Description: lncRNA (ENSMSPG00010035776.1)
Source: RNAcentral
AUCUCGACCUGGGUGGCUUCGUGGGUGCGCAGCCAGCUCUUUGAAGUUCAAGGCUUGAGAAGUCCCUGGGCAGCCGGGUGUCAGAGGAUUCGGCUGGGGUUAAAAGGCGCCUCCUACUGGAGCUGCCUGCCUCCUUAUCCCACCACGCUGCUACCUCACCAGGACCGGAGGGGAGGCCUCAAAAAUGAGAAGAUUCUAUUCUUGGAUCUGCCAGCACUGGGGAUGUCUCUGCAGCCCUGGCUCGGAAUACCCACACCUAGAAUUUCCAAGAGCUGGCAGAAUAAUGGGCGCCCAAAGCUGUUCACAUCUCAGUCUCCGGAACCCAGGACCUUAGGUGGUAGACUGCAGGAUCAAUAUGAGUAUCAGAGGCAGCAGCAGGAUGCGAUGCUCUGUGUGAGCCCCCAUGACAUCUGAACUGCAGUUGCUGAGACCUGAACUGCCCGCUCGGGAACACAGGACUCUUUAGAGCGGGCUUGUCUGAUGGACCAUUCCUGAACUCUGGACACGUGAUGCUUGAAAAUGAGUGUCUAGCGGGACUUGGUGAUGCACGCAGGUAACCCCAGUGCCUUUGGGAACUGAGGCAGGGGGAUCAGAAGAUCAGGGUCACCCUUUUUGAGGAUAACUUUGUGUGGUUCUGUCUCAACACACACACCAAAAAUCAAAAACUAAAAAACAAAAAACAAAACAAAACAAAAA